This 72-nucleotide transfer RNA is filed under the name Camelus bactrianus (Bactrian camel). It matches the Rfam family "tRNA". From Rfam's summary of the family: Transfer RNA (tRNA) molecules are approximately 80 nucleotides in length. Lineage: Eukaryota; Metazoa; Chordata; Mammalia; Artiodactyla; Camelidae. RNAcentral also lists the same sequence under 3 other names. The record is from Rfam by way of RNAcentral.
GAGGGCAUAGCUCAGUGGCUGAGUGCAUGCCUAGCAUGCACAAGGUCCUGGGUUCAAUUCUCAGUACCUACA